This 463-nucleotide ribosomal RNA is filed under the name uncultured bacterium. RNAcentral's name for it is "partial 16S ribosomal RNA". It matches the Rfam family "Bacterial small subunit ribosomal RNA", at positions 28 to 507 of the family's 1533-position model. The record is from RNAcentral.
GAUGAACGCUGACAGAAUGCUUAACACAUGCAAGUCUUUGGCGAAGCUGUGCUUGCACAGCCUAGCCAAGGCGGACGGGUGAGUAACGCGUAAGGAACUUGCCCUGCAGUCAGGGAUAACAGACGGAAACGACUGAUAAGACCUGGUAAAGUCAGGCGGACUCAUGUCCAGCCUGAUGAAAAGAGAUGCUGCAGGAGAGCCUUGCGUCCUAUUAGCUUGUUGGUGGGGUAACGGCCCACCAAGGCGAUGAUAGGUAGCCGGCCUGAGAGGGUGGACGGCCACGAGGGGACUGAGAUACGGCCCUUACUCCUAAGGGAGGCAGCAGUGGGGAAUAUUGGACAAUGGGGGCAACCCUGAUCCAGCAAUUCUGUGUGCACGAUGAAGGUUUUCGGAUUGUAAAGUGCUUUCAGCAGGGAAGAAAAAAAUGACGGUACCUGCAGAAGAAGCGACGGCUAAAUACGUG